GCCUAGCUAGCUAUCAACAGUUUUCAGAAAUAGUAAUUGAAUGAUUUUCAAAGGAAUUGAGAUCUCAAAAUUCUUAUGGAUUAGCUUCAU
RNAcentral lists this microRNA precursor (90 nucleotides) under Oryza sativa Indica Group (long-grained rice). RNAcentral describes it as "mir-395 microRNA precursor". Lineage: Eukaryota; Viridiplantae; Streptophyta; Magnoliopsida; Poales; Poaceae. RNAcentral also lists the same sequence under 1 other name. The record is from RNAcentral.